Molecule: long non-coding RNA, 670 nt
Filed under: Ananas comosus (pineapple)
Lineage: Eukaryota; Viridiplantae; Streptophyta; Magnoliopsida; Poales; Bromeliaceae
Description: long non-coding RNA (ACOM_LNC029269)
Source: RNAcentral
UUAGAGACCAAAAUUAAUUAUACUUAAUUCCACUUUAUUUUUUGGGGCAAUUGUUUAUAUAUCUCUGAAAAUUUUCUGACUUUUUAAUUUACUCCUUUUGAAAGGCUAAUAUUGAAAAUACCUUUUUUACGUUCCAAUCUAUUUCUAAUAUACCCCUAGAGUUAAAAUCAUAUACCCCGAAUUAAAAUAUGUUAAUGAACUCUAUUAUUUCUGUGAAAUUACUAUUUACUAUUUUGUCCUUUCAAAUAUACCCUUCUACCAUCACUGACUUUUUCUUAUUUGCCCUUAAGUUAGGGGCACAAAAAGAUUUUGCUUUUUGAUUUUUUCAAAUAUACCCUUCUACCAUCACUAAUAUUUCUUACUUGCCUUUAAGUUAAGGACAAAAGCAAUAUUUUAAUUUUUUUUAACUGUGGUAGAUAUUUAACUCGCGUUUAACGCAAGUUAACUUAACGGGUGGUAACUGCAGGAAUAUUUUGGAAUAAUGGAGUAACAGUAUAUUAGGGGUAUAUUGGAAAGAAAAAAAAAAAAGAGAUAAAUGAGAUAUUUUUGAAAUUUUGAGAAAUAUAUAAACAAUUAUAUAUGGGACAAGUUUCACAAUAAGUUCAGUUACCAACGGCAUGACUUGUUCUAGCUAGUAUUUUUUGAGUCAGAAAAUUUGUUGGGGAAAAUG